This 451-nucleotide ribosomal RNA is filed under the name uncultured bacterium. Its description in RNAcentral is "partial 16S ribosomal RNA". It matches the Rfam family "Bacterial small subunit ribosomal RNA", at positions 28 to 507 of the family's 1533-position model. The record is from RNAcentral.
GAUGAAUGCUGGCGGCGUGCCUAACACAUGCAAGUCGAGCGGCAGCGAGGGGUGCUUGCACCCUGUCGGCGAGCGGCGAACGGCUGAGUAACGCGUAGGAAUUUGCCCCAAAGUGAGGAAUAACUGCCCGAAAGGGUAGCUAAUGCCGCAUAUGGUCUUCGGAUUAAAGGAUUUAUCCGCUUUGGGAGAAGCCUGCGUUGGAUUAGGUUGUUGGUAGGGUAAUGGCCUACCAAACCGACGAUCCAUAGCUGGUCUGAGAGGAUGAUCAGCCAGACUGGAACUGAGACACGGUCCAGACUCCUACGGGAGGCAGCAGUGAGGAAUCUUCCACAAUGGGCGAAAGCCUGAUGGAGCAACGCCGCGUGAAGGAUGAAGGCCUUCGGGUUGUAAACUUCUUUUAUGAGUGAAGAAUAUGACGGUAACUCAUGAAUAAGCACCGGCUAACUACGUG